AAAAAAAAAAAAAAACUCCUAGCCAAUGAUAUCAUGACUAUUUUACUUGAUAAACCUUCUUUCUUUUUUUUACCAUAUAUAGGUUUGACUAAUCCAAUUCAAAAUUAUGGCAGAUACCUUGAUUUAUCAAUUUAAUAUUUCAAAGGUUUUUCUAGGGUGACUCUGAACUCUGAAUUACUAUAAUCAAAAUCAUUUGUCAGUGUUUUACUCUUAACUUUUUUAUCUAUUUUUAUUUUUAGUCAUGAAUAAAUGACAAAGAUUAAAACAAUUGAAAAUAUGUGUUUAUAAUUCAUUUCAAAAUACCAUAGAAUUUUUCAAUAUUGAGUAAUCACUAUCCAAAACCAAAUGGGCACAAUUACCUUGAAUUAGUUGCCCUAUUUCUUUGCUUAGUCCCCCCAAAAAAGUGAUCUUAGUUUGGCACUUACUUUUUAAAUUCUUCCCUAGAAUCAGUAUGCAUUUUUGUAAUUCAAAAUUUCAUAUUUUAUGCACUUAAUUUUAAAAAAUUCGAUUCUCUAAAUAACAUAUGUAUUGUCAUCAGUUUUGUAUUUCAGUGUUAUUGUAUCACCAUAGCAAUUCGUUUGUAACAACAACAAUUCAUCUAAUAGGGAGAAAUGUGAUGAUAUAAUUGCAUGUAUUGAGGAUGUUUGAAAUUGGUUAUAUCUAAAUAUAGGGAGAAGGAUAUAAAAGUGUUACUCUUAUAAAAUAAAGUAAACAUUUUCACAUUUUUAAAUAAAAAUGCUAUAUUUUUAAAUUAUAAUAAAGUAAACAUUUUCACAUUUUUAAAUAAAAAUGCUAUAUUUUUAAAUUAUAAUCACGAAUAUAAAACGUGUCCUAAUUUAAUGAAAUUUGAAAAUUUUACUUUUUAAACCUUUUUUUAUUCAAUCUUUUUUGUAUUGAGAAUGUGACUUUUGUGUGGGUUUGUGUAGUUAUUAGUUGGUGUAGAAAUUAAUAGGUAAUUUUAAUUUUCAAUUUAACUUUGUGCCAUUGAUUUGUUUUAUUGUUAAAUAACUCUCAAUCAGGUUAAAGAAUUUUUUUGAAAUUAAAAAAAAGUCAAUGCAAAAGUAGUCAUUUCUAUAAUAUAUUUUAGAUGGAGGAUUUUUAGUUAUGGUUUGGAAAAAUAUAUAUGUAUUACAAAAUACAAACUUACAAACUGAUGUGAUUCUAUAUGAUUGUGUUGCAUAGGAUCAUGUGUUGUGACAAGGCAACAAAUCCAUCCCAUCUAUACUUUUCAUAAUAAAAUUUAGUGUAAAUUAUUAUUUUUAUAUUUAAAUCUUUUAUUACAGUUAUUAUUGUGGUGUAUAUUUGUAUUAGAACCCCUUUCAUUCUCUCCUGUGUGUGUGUUUAUUUCUCAAAAAAGAAAAAAGAAAAAAAAAGAAUGGGUAAUUGUCCCACAUUGCUUAAAAGAGUUUGUUUUGUGUAGUAUAACUUGUCCCACCCUCCCUUAAAAGUUACCACGGCUUUUUAGUAGAGUUGUGGUGUGCCUUUGUGUUAGAACUCAUUUCCCUCUCCCCUCUGUGUGUGUGUUUGUUUAUCAAAAAAGAAAAAAAAAAAAAAAGAAGGUAAUUGUCCCAUAUUGCUUAAGAGAGUGUGUUGUGUGUAGUAUAACUUGCUCCACCCUCCCUUAAAAGUUAUCAUGAUUUUUGAGUGGAGUUGUGGUGUAUCUUUGUGUUAAAACCCCUUUCCCUUUCCAUUUCCCCAGUGUGUGUGUUUAUUUCUCAAAAAAACAAAAGAAAAAAAAAAGUGUAAUUGUUCCGCAUUGUUUAAGAGAGUGUGUUGUAUGUAGUAUAACUUGCUUCACCAUUCCUUAAAAGUUACCAUGACUUUUGAGUAGGAAUGGCAGCAGGUCGGGUUUGGGCCCGGUUUUUUCAUACCCGGACUCAACCCGCGGGUCUAGACCUGCGACCCGGACCCGGCCCGAUUAUUAAACAGGUUUUUUUUUUCUUCCUCCUGGAGCUCAGACCUGCCCCGCCGGGCUCUGCGGGCCCGUUUAGCCCAACCAAAAAAAAAAAAAAAGAAUUGAACUCAACGGCGUACACAUACAAAAUAUGGUUGUGUUUGUGUUUAUGUAAUGAGAUUUUCAAAUAUACAUAUAAAAGCAUAACAGAAUAUUGAAAAAGUUUUUGGCAUUGUCUUUUUUUGUACUUUGUAUUUGAGAUAUACACAUAAAAUCCACCAUAUAUUGUUUGAAGAGAGGAUGAAUGCCACGAGACUUGAAGAAGAACUCAACGGCGUCGUUGUGUCCGCCAUUGUUGUGCCAUACAAUCUUAAAAAAAAAAAAAAAAAAAAAAAAGAGUUUUCCUUUCAAACACAGAUCCACAAACACAGAUUCACAGAAUCACAAACACACUUAGAUUUGAGAGAGGACAUGAACCCAAAAAAAAAAAAAAAAUAUUGGAGAACUCGGUCCACCAAGGAUCUAUCUCCAAUCUCGGACUCCUACUCGGCUUCUCUCUAUCUCAAAUCACCAAGAUCUCCGAUGAUCGGCGGUGGGCCUCUCUACCUGUCAUAGCCUAAACCGAUCUAACCUCCGUGCUUCUCCCUGGCAAAUAGCAACCACCACAUGAUGAGAGUGAAGGUGAGGGUGACUGCCAGACUAGGUGAGACCAUGUGGGGUGGCUUGAGAGAAAAUGAGACAGAGAGUUAUUGAGAGUAAGGUGAGAGCACUGAGAGAGGCGGCUGGAGCUAAGAGAUAUCAGAGAAAUGAGUUAGGGUUUGACAUAAGUGAUAUAUAUAUAGGUAGAUAUUUUAGUAAUUUUACUUAAGUUGUAAACGGGUCGGAUCGGGUUUUUACUAAAACCCGGACCCGACCCGUACCCACUUCAGGUUUUUUUUAAAAAAAAACCCAAACUCGAUCGUAUAUUUUAUCGGGUCGGAUAAAAUCUGACUCAUUAGGGUCGGGCCGAGCCGGGUAUCCAUGGAUCAGGUAGAAAUUGCCAUCCCUACUUUUGAGUGAAGUUGUGAUGUAUUUUUGUGUUAGAACCCUUUCCCUCUCCCUUGUGUGUGUGUGUGUAUGUUUGUUUCUCAAAAAAAAAAAGAAAAAAAAAAAGAAUGGGUAAUUGUUCCACAUUGCUUAAGAGAGCGUGUUGUGUGUAGUAUAACUUACCCCACCCUCCCUUAAAAGUUACCAUGACUUUUGAAUGGAGUUGUGGCGUAUUUUUGUGUUAGAACCUCUUUUCUUCUUUCUUGUGUGUGUGUGUGUGUUUGUUUCUCCAAAAAAAAAAAAAAAAAUUGGUAAUUGUUCCACAUUACUUAAAA
Long non-coding RNA from Quercus robur (English oak), 3255 nucleotides. RefSeq lists it as uncharacterized. Lineage: Eukaryota; Viridiplantae; Streptophyta; Magnoliopsida; Fagales; Fagaceae. The record is from RefSeq and is a predicted model, not a curated record. The transcript is spliced from 2 exons.